AUGCCAUCCCACGCCGACCGUGUGCGCCUCCGCGCAGUCUGCCGCCUGUGGCGCGCCGCCGCGCACCUACAACCUCCGCUGCCACCGCUGCUCCCUUGGAUCCUACAACCCGACGGCACCUUGCUCAGCCUCCCCGACGGCGCCGUCCACCGCAUCCCCGUCCCCGACGACGUCUGCCGCCGCAUGUCCACCGGCGGCAUGCUCUUCCUCGUGCAUAGCAACUACACGUGCUCCCUGCUGAACCCCUUCUCCCGGGAGACGACCGGCGCUCAACACAUCCACCCCGCGUGCCUCAGUCCUCAACCCAUCCGGAUUCCCUGGGACUACAACGUCCGCAAGGUGGUUAUGAUGCCUGAUCACAUUAUCACCGUCAAAAGAGCAUACUAUCCCGAGACCCAAUGCAACAACAUGGUCUGUAUCCGCAGGCGCCGCUCCACGGCGACCGUGGACAUCCGGUGGGUGCCCUCCAUGCCCAGCGUUUCACGUGCCAUGGCGGACGUCGCGCUCUUCCAAGACAAGCUCUACGCCCUCGUCGGAACACCUGCGGGCACCAUCCAUCUUUACGUCCUGGACAUCAUCGACGACAAGCAUGUCGCCCUACAACGCGUCCUCCGCACGCCAGUGGACGACGACGACCAAGGCUACACCGGCAUCGUGCACCGCUACCUGGUCGCAUCGGGCGAUCGGCUGUUGAUGGUGAAGGAAAGGAGAGACCGCAGUCCUAAGCUCCCAAGCUUGUUCAAGCAGCCUAUUUUCGAUGUAUCCGAGGCUGCGGACCUGUGCAGCGGCGGUGGACGCUGGAGAAAAGUCGAUACAUUGACGGGACGUGCUCUCUUCCUCAGCCAAGGCUGCUCCGAGUCGCUUCCAGCCGGUGGCCCAUACGUCGGAGCUCGAGAAGACUGCGUCUACUUUCUGUGCGAGCGUCACCAGUGUGAUCAUAGUUGGAGCCUGUGCUCGGGCAUGUACAAUGUGCGCCAGGGGACCGUCUCGCCCUUGCCGUUCAAGGCGAUGGUGGCAGAGGAGGGUCCAGGGACCACGUCUUGGCUUUUUCCUCCUACUGAUAUUUGA
RNAcentral lists this ribosomal RNA (1068 nucleotides) under Triticum aestivum (bread wheat). RNAcentral describes it as "partial small subunit ribosomal RNA". Lineage: Eukaryota; Viridiplantae; Streptophyta; Magnoliopsida; Poales; Poaceae. The record is from RNAcentral.